AUUAAGCCAUGCAUGUCUCAGUACAUGCCGUAUUAAGAUCAAACCGCGAAUGGCUCAUUAAAUAAGUUAUGGUUUCUUAGAUCGUACCCACAUUAUACUUGGAUAACUGUGAUACUUCUAGAGCUAAUACAUGCAAAACAGAGUUCCGGCCAGAGAUGGCAGGAACGCUUUUUAUUAGAUCAAAACCAAUCGGUGGCGGGCGGUUCCGUUCGUCCAUCGUUUGCUUUGGUGA
Molecule: non-coding RNA, 232 nt
Filed under: Dufourea novaeangliae
Lineage: Eukaryota; Metazoa; Arthropoda; Insecta; Hymenoptera; Halictidae
Description: Eukaryotic small subunit ribosomal RNA
Rfam family: Eukaryotic small subunit ribosomal RNA
Source: Rfam by way of RNAcentral